RNAcentral lists this non-coding RNA (31 nucleotides) under Homo sapiens (human). The record is from RNAcentral. Lineage: Eukaryota; Metazoa; Chordata; Mammalia; Primates; Hominidae.
UGUAAACAAACCUAUUGUACUGCCAGACGUA